AGUAACGCGUGGGUAACCUGCCCCUUUUUGUGGGGGAACAACUUCGAGAAAUCGGAGCUAAUACCGCAUAAUAAUAGAGGAUCGCAUGAUUCUUUAAGGAAAGAUGGCCUCUGAAGAUGCUAUCGCAAAAGGAUGGACCCGCGUCUGAUUAGCUAGUUGGAAGGGUAACGGCCUACCAAGGCAACGAUCAGUAGCCGGCCUGAGAGGGUGAACGGCCACAUUGGGACUGAGACACGGCCCAAACUCCUACGGAAGGCAGCAG
RNAcentral lists this ribosomal RNA (262 nucleotides) under uncultured bacterium. RNAcentral's name for it is "partial 16S ribosomal RNA". It matches the Rfam family "Bacterial small subunit ribosomal RNA", at positions 109 to 354 of the family's 1533-position model. The record is from RNAcentral.